CAGGAUGAACGCUAGCGGCAGGCUUAACACAUGCAAGUCGAGGGGCAGCGGGUUGUAGCAAUACAAUGCCGGCGACCGGCGAAAGGGUGCGUAACGCGUGAACAAUCUGCCCGUAUCCGGGACAUAAGCGAUGGAAACGUCGUCUAAUUUCCCAUAACAACGAGGGCCGCAUGACCCAUGUUUGAAAGAUUCGUCGGAUACGGAUGAGUUCGCGAGACAUUAGCUAGUCGGCGUGGUAACGGCACACCGAGGCGACGAUGUCUAGGGGUUCUGAGAGGAAGGUCCCCCACACUGGAACUGAGACACGGACCAAACUCCUACGGGAGGCAGCAGUGAGGAAUAUUGGUCAAUGGGCGCGAGCCUGAACCAGCCAAGUAGCGUGCAAGGAUGACGGCCCUAUGGGUUGUAAACUGCUUUUAUGCGGGGAUAAAGUGCGGCACGUGUGCCGUUUUGUAGGUACCGCAUGAAUAAGGACCGGCUAAUUCCGUGCCAGCCGCAGC
RNAcentral lists this ribosomal RNA (500 nucleotides) under uncultured bacterium. Its description in RNAcentral is "bacterial SSU rRNA". It matches the Rfam family "Bacterial small subunit ribosomal RNA", at positions 25 to 518 of the family's 1533-position model. The record is from RNAcentral.